GUGGGGAAUAUUGGACAAUGGGGGCAACCCUGAUCCAGCCAUGCCGCGUGUGUGAAGAAGGCCUUUUGGUUGUAAAGCACUUUAAGCGAGGAGGAGGCUCUUCUAGUUAAUACCUAGGAUGAGUGGACGUUACUCGCAGAAUAAGCACCGGCUAACUCUGUGCCAGCAGCCGCGGUAAUACAGAGGGUGCGAGCGUUAAUCGGAUUUACUGGGCGUAAAGCGUACGUAGGCGGCUUUUUAAGUCGGAUGUGAAAUCCCUGAGCUUAACUUAGGAAUUGCAUUCGAGACUGGGAAGCUAGAGUAUGGGAGAGGAUGGUAGAAUUCCAGGUGUAGCGGUGAAAUGCGUAGAGAUCUGGAGGAAUACCGAUGGCGAAGGCAGCCAUCUGGCCUAAUACUGACGCUGAGGUACGAAAGCAUGGGGAGCAAACAGGAUUAGAUACCCUGGUAGUCC
RNAcentral lists this ribosomal RNA (451 nucleotides) under uncultured bacterium. Its description in RNAcentral is "partial 16S ribosomal RNA". It matches the Rfam family "Bacterial small subunit ribosomal RNA", at positions 354 to 796 of the family's 1533-position model. The record is from RNAcentral.